This 67-nucleotide transfer RNA is filed under the name Philonthus fimetarius. RNAcentral's name for it is "tRNA-Glu". Lineage: Eukaryota; Metazoa; Arthropoda; Insecta; Coleoptera; Staphylinidae. The record is from RNAcentral.
AUUUGCAUAGUUUAACUUAAAACAUUACAUUUUCAUUGUAAAAUUAAAAGAUUUUUUUUUGUAAAUA